UACGUAGGGUGCGAGCGUUGUCCGGAAUUAUUGGGCGUAAAGAGCUUGUAGGCGGUCUGUCGCGUCUGCUGUGAAAACUCGGGGCUUAACCCCGGGCCUGCAGUGGGUACGGGCAGACUAGAGUGCGGUAGGGGAGACUGGAAUUCCUGGUGUAGCGGUGAAAUGCGCAGAUAUCAGGAGGAACACCGGUGGCGAAGGCGGGUCUCUGGGCCGUAACUGACGCUGAGGAGCGAAAGCAUGGGGAGCGAACAGG
Molecule: ribosomal RNA, 253 nt
Filed under: uncultured bacterium
Lineage: Bacteria
Description: partial 16S ribosomal RNA
Rfam family: Bacterial small subunit ribosomal RNA
Source: RNAcentral